RNAcentral lists this ribosomal RNA (279 nucleotides) under uncultured bacterium. RNAcentral's name for it is "partial 16S ribosomal RNA". It matches the Rfam family "Bacterial small subunit ribosomal RNA", at positions 506 to 784 of the family's 1533-position model. The record is from RNAcentral.
UGCCAGCCGCCGCGGUAAUACCGAGGGAGCUAGCGUUGUUCGGAAUUACUGGGCGUAAAGCGCACGUAGGUGGCUUGGUAAGUCGGAUGUGAAAGCCCGGGGCUCAACCCCGGAAGUGCAUUGGAAACUGGCGAACUUGAGUACGGGAGAGGAAAGUGGAAUUCCGAGUGUAGGGGUGAAAUCCGUAGAUAUUCGGAGGAACACCAGUGGCGAAAGCGGCUUGCUGGACCGAUACUGACGCUGAGACGCGAAAGCGUGGGGAGCAAACAGGAUUAGAUA